This 665-nucleotide ribosomal RNA is filed under the name Acinetobacter johnsonii. RNAcentral describes it as "bacterial SSU rRNA". It matches the Rfam family "Bacterial small subunit ribosomal RNA", at positions 56 to 715 of the family's 1533-position model. Lineage: Bacteria; Pseudomonadati; Pseudomonadota; Gammaproteobacteria; Moraxellales; Moraxellaceae. The record is from RNAcentral.
UGCAAGUCGAGCGGGGAGAGGUAGCUUGCUACCUGACCUAGCGGCGGACGGGUGAGUAAUGCUUAGGAAUCUGCCUAUUAGUGGGGGACAACAUUCCGAAAGGAAUGCUAAUACCGCAUACGCCCUACGGGGGAAAGCAGGGGAUCUUCGGACCUUGCGCUAAUAGAUGAGCCUAAGUCAGAUUAGCUAGUUGGUGGGGUAAAGGCCUACCAAGGCGACGAUCUGUAGCGGGUCUGAGAGGAUGAUCCGCCACACUGGGACUGAGACACGGCCCAGACUCCUACGGGAGGCAGCAGUGGGGAAUAUUGGACAAUGGGCGAAAGCCUGAUCCAGCCAUGCCGCGUGUGUGAAGAAGGCCUUUUGGUUGUAAAGCACUUUAAGCGAGGAGGAGGCUACUUAGAUUAAUACUCUAGGAUAGUGGACGUUACUCGCAGAAUAAGCACCGGCUAACUCUGUGCCAGCAGCCGCGGUAAUACAGAGGGUGCGAGCGUUAAUCGGAUUUACUGGGCGUAAAGCGUGCGUAGGCGGCUUUUUAAGUCGGAUGUGAAAUCCCUGAGCUUAACUUAGGAAUUGCAUUCGAUACUGGGAAGCUAGAGUAUGGGAGAGGAUGGUAGAAUUCCAGGUGUAGCGGUGAAAUGCGUAGAGAUCUGGAGGAAUACCGAUGG